ACGGCUGGCAGGUGUAAAAGUGGGGGACGUUAUCGAAAGCCACCAAUACUCCAGGAAGGGCUCGUCCGGGAGUUGAACACGGGACCUCUCGCACCCUAAGCGAGAAUCAUACCCCUAGACCAACGAGCCACAUGAGAAAACCGAUGUACCCCAUGACUUGUUGUCUGGUGGCCCAUGUGAUGGCUGGCAGGUGUGAAAGUGGGGGACGUUAUCGAAGGCCACCAAUACUCCAGGAAGGGUUCGUCCGGGAGUUGAACCCGGGACCUCUCGCACCCUAAGCGAGAAUCAUACCACUAGACCAACGAGCCACAUGAGAAAACCGAUGUACCCCAUGACUUGUUGUCUGGUGGCCCAUGUGAUGGCUGGCAGGUGUAAAAGUGGGGGACGUUAUCGAAAGCCACCAAUACUCCAGGAAGGGCUCGUCCGGGAGUUGAACCCGGGACCUCUCGCACCCUAAGCGAGAAUCAUACCCCUAGACCAACGAGCCACAUGAGAAAACCGAUGUACCCCAUGACUUGUUGUCUGGUGGCCCAUGUGAUGGCUGGCAGGUGUAAAAGUGGGGGACGUUAUCGAAAGCCACCAAUACUCCAGGAAGGGCUCGUCCGGGAGUUGAACCCGGGACCUCUCGCACCCUAAGCGAGAAUCAUACCCCUAGACCAACGAGCCACAUGAGAAAACCGAUGUACCCCAUGACUUGUUGUCUGGUGGCCCAUGUGAUGGCUGGCAGGUGUAAAAGUGGGGGACAUCUUCGAAAGACACCUAUUCUACAGGAAGGGCUCGUCCGGGAGUUGACCCCGGGACCUCUCGCACCCGAAGCGAGAAUCAUAUCCCAAGACCAACGAGCCACAUUGGCAUCUUGAUGUAACCCAUGACUUGU
This is a long non-coding RNA of Hippocampus zosterae (dwarf seahorse), 877 nucleotides long. RefSeq lists it as uncharacterized. NCBI's taxonomy places the organism in Eukaryota, Metazoa, Chordata, Actinopteri, Syngnathiformes, Syngnathidae. The record is from RefSeq and is a predicted model, not a curated record. The transcript has 5 exons.